Molecule: small nuclear RNA, 107 nt
Organism: Nycticebus coucang (slow loris)
Lineage: Eukaryota; Metazoa; Chordata; Mammalia; Primates; Lorisidae
Source: RefSeq, a predicted model, not a curated record
UUGUGCUGGCUUUCACACACAUACACUAAAAUUGAGAUGAUAUAGGGAAUAUUAGCACAGUCCCUGAGCAAGAUGACAUGCAAAUUUGGGACACAUUCCAUAUUCUU